RNAcentral lists this long non-coding RNA (157 nucleotides) under Pongo abelii (Sumatran orangutan). RNAcentral describes it as "lincRNA". Lineage: Eukaryota; Metazoa; Chordata; Mammalia; Primates; Hominidae. The record is from RNAcentral.
GGGGCUUGGCUGAGCAGAGUGUGGCCAGCCUAGCGGGGGACAGCCUACGUCCUGGCCUCACUGGUCUCGAGGUGCCCAAGCCAGGGGCCCAGGACUUUGGGCGUUACUAGGAAAUGAUGGGAACCCAGGGUGGGGUGGCGUGAAACAAGAUGAGAUG